ACCCCUGCUGCCAGCACCCCGGCCACCACUCAGGAACCAGCGGUGGAAGCCAGCAAACCGGCUGCCCCCGCUCCGGAGGGUCCCUCCCAGCCACUGCCUGAGAACCAGCGACAGCUUGUGGAUACUUCAACACCCGAGCCCGGGGGGGACCCUGCUCCAGCCCUGCUGGCGUAAUAGUGAGGGGAUGCAGAGAGCUGCCAGCUGGUGUCCAUCUUGCCCGUAUCCCCAAGUUACCUCGUACUGCACAGAGACCCCAAACUCCACCCGGUCCCCCCUCUCCUCGCUGCUGAUCGAAGCCAAGAAUGUGAACCCCGAGGGGAGACUGAACACAAAUCUUUAAGUUUAAAAAGGAAAAAACUUUUUUUGAGGGGCUAGUCCCCCCCUCCCAUAGCUUCCUCGGUUCAAAGGGAAACUGGCUGUUGAGACUUGAGUUAAUUCCCUCCCUCCCCCCCUAAUUUUUCUGAAGAGCACUUUUUGUGAACGUUGUGUGCAGUUUGGGUGUCAGUAAAGGAAUUUGCACAGACUCCUGGUGUCGCCGGGUCUUUCCUGCCAUGCUGAGGGGGCGAAUGAGCCGCCUUUGGCAAAGCCACCAUAGUCUGUGGAUUGAGGUGGGACUCCUGGGUUUGAUCCCUGGCUGUGGGAGGAGUCUCUCUGGGCUGAGGGGUGGGGCCUAGUG
This 676-nucleotide long non-coding RNA is filed under the name Gopherus agassizii (Agassiz's desert tortoise). RNAcentral's name for it is "lncRNA (ENSGAGG00000016158.1)". The record is from RNAcentral. Lineage: Eukaryota; Metazoa; Chordata; Testudines; Testudinidae.